RNAcentral lists this ribosomal RNA (468 nucleotides) under uncultured bacterium. RNAcentral describes it as "partial 16S ribosomal RNA". It matches the Rfam family "Bacterial small subunit ribosomal RNA", at positions 28 to 507 of the family's 1533-position model. The record is from RNAcentral.
GACGAACGCUGGCGGCGUGCUUAACACAUGCAAGUCGAACGGUGAAGCUCCAGCUUGCUGGAGUGGAUCAGUGGCGAACGGGUGAGUAACACGUGAGCAACCUGCCCCUGACUCUGGAAUAAGCGCUGGAAACGGCGUCUAAUACUGGAUACGAGAAGGGUCCGCAUGGGCACUUUCUGGAAAGUUUUUCGGUUGGGGAUGGGCUCGCGGCCUAUCAGCUUGUUGGUGAGGUAAUGGCUCACCAAGGCGACGACGGGUAGCCGGCCUGAGAGGGCGACCGGCCACACUGGGACUGAGACACGGCCCAGACUCCUACGGGAGGCAGCAGUGGGGAAUAUUGCACAAUGGGCGAAAGCCUGAUGCAGCGACGCCGCGUGAGGGAUGACGGCCUUCGGGUUGUAAACCUCUUUCAACAGGGAAGAAGCGAAAGUGACGGUACCUGCAGAAGAAGCACCGGCUAACUACGUG